UGGGGGAUAUUGCACAAUGGGCGAAAGCCUGAUGCAGCGACGCCGCGUGGGGGAUGAAGGCCUUCGGGUUGUAAACUUCUUUUGCUCUGAACAAGGCGCACCAUGGGGUGUGUUGAGUGUAGGGGUUGAUUAGCGCCGGCUAACUACGUGCCAGCAGCCGCGGUAAUACGUAGGGCGCGAGCGUUGUCCGGAAUUAUUGGGCGUAAAGGGCUUGUAGGUGGCUGGUUGCGUCUGUCGUGAAAGCUCAUGGCUUAACUGUGGGUUUGCGGUGGGUACGGGCUGGCUUGAGUGCAGUAGGGGAGGCUGGAAUUCCUGGUGUAGCGGUGGAAUGCGCGGAUAUCAGGAGGAAUACCGGUGGCGAAGGCGGGUCUCUGGGCUGUUACUGACACUGAGGAGCGAAAGCAUGGGGAGCGAACAGG
Molecule: ribosomal RNA, 419 nt
Filed under: bacterium
Lineage: Bacteria
Description: partial 16S ribosomal RNA
Rfam family: Bacterial small subunit ribosomal RNA
Source: RNAcentral